Molecule: unclassified non-coding RNA, 433 nt
Filed under: soil metagenome
Description: partial contains 5.8S ribosomal RNA, internal transcribed spacer 2, and large subunit ribosomal RNA
Rfam family: 5.8S ribosomal RNA (bases 1-120)
Source: RNAcentral
GAUGAAGAACGUAGCGAAAUGCGAUACGUAAUGUGAAUUGCAGAAUUCAGUGAAUCAUCGAAUCUUUGAACGCAUAUUGCGCUCUUUGGUAUUCCGAAGAGCAUGCUUGUUUGAGUAUCAGUAAACACCUCAAAGCUUUUGGAUUUUUUAAUCGAAAAGCUUUGGACUUGAGCAAUCCCAACACCAAUCUUUUUGAGAUCGGUGGCGGGUUGCUUGAAAUGCAGGUGCAGCUGGACAUUCUCCUGAGCUAAAAGCAUAUUCAUUUAGUCCCGUCAAACGGAUUAUUACUUUUGCUGCAGCUAACAUAAAGGGAGUUUGACCGUAUUGGCUGACUGAUGCAGGAUUUCACAAGGGUCGGCAACGAUUCUUGUUAAACUCGAUCUCAAAUCAAGUAAGACUACCCGCUGAACUUAAGCAUAUAAUAAGCGGAGGA